UGAGGAAUAUUGCACAAUGGGCGCAAGCCUGAUGCAGCAACGCCGCGUGCGGGACGAAGGCCUUCGGGUCGUAAACCGCUUUUCUGGGGGAAGAGCAAGGACGGUACCUCAGGAAUAAGUCUCGGCUAACUACGUGCCAGCAGCCGCGGUAAAACGUAGGAGGCAAGCGUUGUCCGGAUUUACUGGGCGUAAAGGGAGCGUAGGCGGACUUUUAAGUGAGAUGUGAAAUACCCGGGCUCAACCUGGGUGCUGCAUUUCAAACUGGAAGUCUAGAGUGCAGGAGAGGAGAGUGGAAUUCCUAGUGUAGCGGUGAAAUGCGUAGAGAUUAGGAAGAACACCAGUGGCGAAGGCGACUCUCUGGACUGUAACUGACGCUGAGGCUCGAAAGCGUGGGGAGCAAACA
Molecule: ribosomal RNA, 403 nt
Filed under: uncultured bacterium
Lineage: Bacteria
Description: bacterial SSU rRNA
Rfam family: Bacterial small subunit ribosomal RNA
Source: RNAcentral